CAAUAGCGUAUAUUAAAGUUGUUGCAGUUAAAAAGCUCGUAGUUGGAUUUCGGGACGGCACGGUCGGUCCGCCGCAAGGUGUGUUACUGGCCGGGCUGUUCUUCUUCGCAAAGACUGCGUGUGCUCUUAACUGAGUGUGCGCAGGACUUGCGACGUUUACUUUGAAAAAAUUAGAGUGUUCAAAGCAGGCCAGCGCUUGAAUACAUAAGCAUGGAAUAAUGGAAUAGGACUUUGGUUCUAUUUUGUUGGUUUCUGGAACCGAAGUAAUGAUUAAGAGGGACAGUUGGGGGCAUUCGUAUUUCGUUGUCAGAGGUGAAAUUCUUGGAUUUACGAAAGACGAACUACUGCGAAAGCAUUUGCCAAGAAUGUUUUCAUUAA
RNAcentral lists this ribosomal RNA (378 nucleotides) under uncultured eukaryote. Its description in RNAcentral is "partial 18S ribosomal RNA". It matches the Rfam family "Eukaryotic small subunit ribosomal RNA", at positions 592 to 976 of the family's 1831-position model. The record is from RNAcentral.